Molecule: transfer RNA, 75 nt
Filed under: candidate division SR1 bacterium
Lineage: Bacteria; Candidatus Absconditibacteriota
Description: tRNA-Lys
Rfam family: tRNA
About the family: Transfer RNA (tRNA) molecules are approximately 80 nucleotides in length. Their secondary structure includes four short double-helical elements and three loops (D, anti-codon, and T loops).
Source: RNAcentral
GGAUGGGUAGCUCAGGGGUAGAGCAAUGGACUUUUAAUCCACUGGUCGUGGGUUCGAAUCCCACUCCGUCCACCA